AGAGGCUUAGGAUAGCGUUAGACCGGGAGCCUUCAAAGCUCUAAGCAGAAGUUAAAAUCUUCUAGCCUCUG
This 71-nucleotide transfer RNA is filed under the name Notropis stramineus (sand shiner). Its description in RNAcentral is "tRNA-Trp". It matches the Rfam family "tRNA". Rfam says of the family: Transfer RNA (tRNA) molecules are approximately 80 nucleotides in length. Lineage: Eukaryota; Metazoa; Chordata; Actinopteri; Cypriniformes; Leuciscidae. The record is from RNAcentral.